ACGGAAGGCAGCAGUGAGGAAUAUUGGUCAAUGGACGGAAGUCUGAACCAGCCAUGCCGCGUGCAGGAAUAAGGCCCUAUGGGUCGUAAACUGCUUUUGUGGUGGAGCAAUAAGGGCCACGUGUGGUCCGAUGAGAGUACAUCACGAAUAAGCAUCGGCUAACUCCGUGCCAGCAGCCGCGGUAAUACGGAGGAUGCAAGCGUUAUCCGGAUUUAUUGGGUUUAAAGGGAGCGUAGGCCGUGCUUUAAGCGUGCUGUGAAAUGUAGGCGCCCAACGUCUGCACUGCAGCGCGAACUGGAGCACUUGAGUACGCAGGAAGUAGGCGGAAUUCGUCGUGUAGCGGUGAAAUGCUUAGAUAUGACGAAGAACUCCGAUUGGGAAGCCAGCUUACUGUAGCGCCACUGACGCUGAUGCUCGAAAGCGUGGGUAUCGAACAGGAUUAGAUACCCUGGUA
This 454-nucleotide ribosomal RNA is filed under the name uncultured Prevotella sp. Its description in RNAcentral is "partial 16S ribosomal RNA". It matches the Rfam family "Bacterial small subunit ribosomal RNA", at positions 341 to 792 of the family's 1533-position model. Lineage: Bacteria; Pseudomonadati; Bacteroidota; Bacteroidia; Bacteroidales; Prevotellaceae. The record is from RNAcentral.